This 497-nucleotide ribosomal RNA is filed under the name uncultured bacterium. RNAcentral describes it as "partial 16S ribosomal RNA". It matches the Rfam family "Bacterial small subunit ribosomal RNA", at positions 28 to 507 of the family's 1533-position model. The record is from RNAcentral.
GAUGAACGCUGGCGGCGUGCCUAAUACAUGCAAGUCGAGCGAACAGACGAGGAGCUUGCUCCUCUGACGUUAGCGGCGGACGGGUGAGUAACACGUGGAUAACCUACCUAUAAGACUGGGAUAACUUCGGGAAACCGGAGCUAAUACCGGAUAAUAUAUUGAACCGCAUGGUUCAAUAGUGAAAGACGGUUUUGCUGUCACUUAUAGAUGGAUCCGCGCCGCAUUAGCUAGUUGGUAAGGUAACGGCUUACCAAGGCGACGAUGCGUAGCCGACCUGAGAGGGUGAUCGGCCACACUGGAACUGAGACACGGUCCAGACUCCUACGGGAGGCAGUAGUAGGGAAUCUUCCGCAAUGGGCGAAAGCCUGACGGAGCAACGCCGCGUGAGUGAUGAAGGUCUUCGGAUCGUAAAACUCUGUUAUUAGGGAAGAACAAAUGUGUAAGUAACUAUGCACGUCUUGACGGUACCUAAUCAGAAAGCCACGGCUAACUACGUG